AACAGGUUAGUGAACUCAGGACCAGCUGGAUGAGGGGACUGAGGCUUCAGUGUGUUAGUAGAACAGGUUAGUGAACUCAGAACCAGCUGGAUGAGGGGACUGAGGCUUCAGUGUGUUAGUAGAACAGGUUAGUGAACUCAGAACCAGCUGGAUGAGGGGACUGAGGCUUCAGUGUGUUAGUAGAACAGGUUAGUGAACUCAGCCCCAGGACCAGCUGGAUGAGGGGACUGAGGCUUCAGUGUGUUAGUAGAACAGGUUAGUGAACUCAGAACCAGCUGGAUGAGGGGACUGAGGCUUCAGUGUGUUAGUAGAACAGGUUAGUGAACUCAGAACCAGCUGGAUGAGGGGACUGAGGCUUCAGUGUGUUAGUAGAACAGGUUUGUGAACUCAGGACCAGCUGGAUGAGGGGACUGAGGCUUCAGUGUGUUAGUAGAACAGGUUAGUGAACUCAGAACCAGCUGGAUGAGGGGACUGAGGCUUCAGUGUGUUAGUAGAACAGGUUAGUGAACUCAGAACCAGCUGGAUGAGGGGACUGAGGCUUCAGUGUGUUAGUAGAACAGGUUAGUGAACUCAGAACCAGCUGGAUGAGGGGACUGAGGCUUCAGUGUGUUAGUAGAACAGGUUAGUGAACUCAGCCCCAGGACCAGCUGGAUGAGGGGACUGAGGCUUCAGUGUGUUAGUAGAACAGGUUUGUGAACUCAGCCCCAGGACCAGCUGGAUGAGGGGACUGAGGCUUCAGUGUGUUAGUAGAACAGGUUAGUGAACUCAGGACCAGCUGGAUGAGGGGACUGAGGCUUCAGUGUGUUAGUAGAACAGGUUAGUGAACUCAGCCCCAGGACCAGCUGGAUGAGGGGACUGAGGCUUCAGUGUGUUAGUAGAACAGGUUUGUGAACUCAGGACCAGCUGGAUGAGGGGACUGAGGCUUCAGUGUGUUAGUAGAACAGGUUUGUGAACUCAGGACCAGCUGGAUGAGGGGACUGAGGCUUCAGUGUGUUAGUAGAACAGGUUUGUGAACUCAGCCCCAGGACCAGCUGGAUGAGGGGACUGAGGCUUCAGUGUGUUAGUAGAACAGGUUAGUGAACUCAGGACCAGCUGGAUGAGGGGACUGAGGCUUCAGUGUGUUAGUAGAACAGGUUAGUGAACUCAGCCCCAGGACCAGCUGGAUGAGGGGACUGAGGCUUCAGUGUGUUAGUAGAACAGGUUAGUGAACUCAGGACCAGCUGGAUGAGGGGACUGAGGCUUCAGUGUGUUAGUAGAACAGGUUAGUGAACUCAGCCCCAGGACCAGCUGGAUGAGGGGACUCUUUUCUUUGCUCAGCUCUUGGCAUUGCAGGGUUUGGUAAUGAUAUGAGAGGCGGUCACUGUAUUUUAGAUGUUUCCAAAACUUAAUUGCUCUUUGUUGAGUUUUUAUUAUUAGUUGUUA
This is a long non-coding RNA of Oncorhynchus keta (chum salmon), 1422 nucleotides long. RefSeq lists it as uncharacterized. The record is from RefSeq and is a predicted model, not a curated record. The transcript is spliced from 8 exons. Lineage: Eukaryota; Metazoa; Chordata; Actinopteri; Salmoniformes; Salmonidae.